CUUCACCGAGCCCAGCCACAGCGGCCGGCCGUCCUCGCGCGCCUGCCCGUAGGUGGCCAGCAGCGCCUGCGCCUC
RNAcentral lists this antisense RNA (75 nucleotides) under Streptomyces olivoverticillatus. RNAcentral describes it as "ASpks TB sRNA". It matches the Rfam family "ASpks TB sRNA". Lineage: Bacteria; Bacillati; Actinomycetota; Actinomycetes; Kitasatosporales; Streptomycetaceae. The record is from Rfam by way of RNAcentral. RNAcentral also lists the same sequence under 1 other name.